RNAcentral lists this ribosomal RNA (359 nucleotides) under uncultured bacterium. RNAcentral describes it as "partial 16S ribosomal RNA". It matches the Rfam family "Bacterial small subunit ribosomal RNA", at positions 338 to 689 of the family's 1533-position model. The record is from RNAcentral.
CCUACGGGCGGCAGCAGUGGGGAAUAUUGCGCAAUGGGCGAAAGCCUGACGCAGCGACGCCGCGUGAGGGAUGAAGGUCUUCGGAUCGUAAACCUCUGUCAGCAGGGAAGAACGGUCACUGUGCUAAUCCGCAGUGUAUUGACCGUACCUGCAAAGGAAGCACCGGCUAAAUCCGUGCCAGCAGCCGCGGUAAUACGGAGGGUGCGAGCGUUAAUCGGAAUUACUGGGCGUAAAGCGCUCGUAGGGGGUAUGUCAAGUCAAGGGUGAAAUCCCCGCGCUAAACGUGGGAACUGCCUUUGUAACGGGGAAACUGGAGUGGGUGAGAGGAUAGUGGAAGUCCGGGGGUAGGGGUGAAAUCG